This 384-nucleotide ribosomal RNA is filed under the name uncultured organism. Its description in RNAcentral is "bacterial SSU rRNA". It matches the Rfam family "Bacterial small subunit ribosomal RNA", at positions 45 to 433 of the family's 1533-position model. The record is from RNAcentral.
UGCCUUACACAUGCAAGUCGAACGGCAGCACGGGGCAACCUGGUGGCGAGUGGCGAACGGGUGAGUAAUGUAUCGGAACGUGCCCAGUCGUGGGGGAUAACGUAGUGAAAAUUACGCUAAUACCGCAUACGAUCUAUGGAUGAAAGCGGGGGAUCGCAAGACCUCGCGCGAUUGGAGCGGCCGAUAUCAGAUUAGGCAGUUGGUGGGGUAAAGGCUCACCAAGCCAACGAUCUGUAGCUGGUCUGAGAGGACGACCAGCCACACUGGAACUGAGACACGGUCCAGACUCCUACGGGAGGCAGCAGUGGGGAAUUUUGGACAAUGGGCGAAAGCCUGAUCCAGCCAUUCCGCGUGCAGGAUGAAGGCCUUCGGGUUGUAAACUGC